This 1255-nucleotide long non-coding RNA is filed under the name Equus asinus (donkey). RNAcentral describes it as "lncRNA (ENSEASG00005028024.1)". The record is from RNAcentral. Lineage: Eukaryota; Metazoa; Chordata; Mammalia; Perissodactyla; Equidae.
CAGCGGCCCUUGCAGACUCCAGGCUGCUGGCCGUUGAAGUCAUAAAGCAGGCAUUGUUUGACGGGGUGGCUGGAAGCAGGGCUGUCUCAAGUUGAGCUAUGACAACCGACAAGACUGUGGAAAACAGUCAACAAAUUGCAACCAUCCUCCAGAGACUUCCCGAAUUCCCUCGGAGAUUACCUUCUUGAGAACAAAACAAAUGUCUACAACAAAAAAAGUCUUCAUCCUCAAGCAGUCUUACUCAAUGACGCUGGGCUGUAAUCGCUUUGCUUGAUGCGGGCUACUGCAUGAUGCGAUUGUCCUUACAUGAGGACACUAAAGCUGAGAGAGGGGAGCUGCUGGCCAACCAUCAGCCAGCCACGUGUGACAGCGCUGGGACUUGAGCUCUGCAUGAGAUUCCAAACUCUGUUUCCAGCUAAAAACUGCAUCUCCUUUUCCAAAGUGGCUGAAGAUGACUACAUGACACAAUUUGGGACAACCUCACAUAAGCAGAAAUCACUGGAUAGACUCUUAGGAAUGAUCCUUAACAAGUGGACUUCGCUAGCCAGUACCUGUCCCCCCACUUUCCUUUACUUAUUUGCUUGUCUGGAAUGCAGACAUAAUGGUUGAGAUUGGAGCACCUUGUGACCACAAGGAUAAUAACAAGAUACUCACAAAGACUUCAUCCCCAACAUCCUUGAGUCAAUAAGCCAAGGCCAAAAAUACCUACUCUUGAACUUCUUGUUAUGUGAGAAAAAAAAUAAACCCCUAACUUGUUUAAGCUACCAUUAUACUGAUUUUCUGCUAUGUGCCGCUAAGCUCAAUCUCUAAGUGACACAGUCAUCAAAAGGAAGCAAAGCAUAGUGUAAAAGUCUUAGACUUCUAGUGUAAGACCUCUUCAUUGGUCUUCUGGCCCCACUUCUUCCCUAUCAAGUCUCCACAUUUUAGCCAGCGUCGUCUUUCCAAUGCCUUGUUUAAAACCCUUCAGCAGACUUUCUCUGCCCUGAAGAUUAAGUCCCAAACCCUUGUUGUAAUUAAAAGUCCCUCCUGGAUCUGGCCCCUGCCCACAUCCGCAUCCUCGUCACUCGUCUCUUUGCCUCUCUCGUUUCCAGCCACACCCAUCUUCUUGCUACUCCAAUGCACUACAUGGUCCUUUGGCUUUACCUUCUGAUAUACUGUUCUUCUGCUUGCAGCAUUCUCCCCAUCACGAUCCCCUCUUUGAAUAUCAAAAUAAAUGGAACACUACUUACAGAUCUCUAAGACUGGCUUCUUUCGU